Long non-coding RNA from Solanum tuberosum (potato), 337 nucleotides. RefSeq lists it as uncharacterized. The record is from RefSeq and is a predicted model, not a curated record. The transcript has 3 exons. Lineage: Eukaryota; Viridiplantae; Streptophyta; Magnoliopsida; Solanales; Solanaceae.
CAACAAGGUAUUUGGAAAGAAGCCACAUCUAUUUCGUCUUGAAGCAAAAUUGGGUCUCGCUGCUUGAAAGUUUAAGAAGGUGGAGUGUAAAUUUUAAAAUUCAGACUCAAAAUAUGACUAUUGAUACAUCGUCUCAAUUUAGAUGACACUAAAAUUCAAAGCGUCUCAGUUGGCUUCCUACUUGCUACGCUCAUUGAUUUAUCAUGUGAACUCUUGACUAUUGAUUUUCUCCAGUAAACUUCAAUUGCGAUUGAAAGUUCUCCAAAUGAACAUAAAAAUUUUGGAGCUCAAGGGGAAAACCAUGAGAGGGCUGCAAUGAAGCUAGCUCCUUGAUAGU